UAGUAUUACAUAUUUAUGGUAGAAUACAGAAAAGAAUAGAGUGAAAAUCAUCCCUUGAAUCACCUAAAUCCUAAAAUAAUGACUACCUAACACCUGAGUAAAUAUGUCUCCAGACCUUUUCAGUGUGCAUGUGUACAUAAGCUUGUAUUUUUCAUAAAAAAGGAAUCCUGAUACAUACUUUAUAACAUGCUUUUUUUCAUUUAACAUACUGAGGCAUUUAAAAUUUUCAGUUUGUUUUUAUUGUAGCAAACAUGUAGUAAGGGUUUGGUUGGCUUUCAAUGGAUAAAAGGACAGUAUCCAAAGGGGGGUUUGAAUUUCCCACUUCUGGGAACAGACUCCUAUUAAAGUUCCAGGGGACUAUCUGCAGUGGGGUGCGGAACAAAAGAUAUCAGCAGUGCUCAUCAUUGUAGUAACUUGGGUAACUCCUCCAAGUACUUUGUGUGACUAUCAGAAAUCUUUGGAAUUUUUUAAUGUACAUUCUUGAAAUUCUGAAUGUACAAAUAUGAGUUCCAUUUAAAGUUUUUUUUUUAAUUUUAAGUCUUGCAUCCAUUAAUGUAUUCUCUUAAACUUUUAUCCUUAUAUAUUUAUAGCUCUGAAAUCUUGGCCACUAGCACUAUGAGGAAAACAUGCCUGAAAUUUAUUUUUAUACAUUACCAACCCUUUUUGUUUGUUUUUUUGAGACAGGGUCUCACUGUCACUGAGGCUGGAGUACAGUGGCAUGGUCUCAGCUCAUUGCAACCUCCACCUCCCGGGCUUAAGCAAUCUCCCCACCUCAGCCUCCUGAGUCGAUGGGACUACAGGCACAUGCCAGCACGCCCAGCUAAUUUUUGUAUUUUUAGUAGAGACAGAGUUUCACCAUGUUGCCCAGGCUGGUCUUGAACUCCUGGCCUUAAGCAGUCCUCCCUCCCACCUCAGCCUCCCAAAGUGCUGGGAUUACAGGUGUGAGCCACCAUGCCUGGACUGCAUUACCAACUCUUGGGACUAUAAUUUUUCAUGUUUCCUUUGAAGUAAUCUCCUUAACUACAAAUCAGUUCUUAUCAACAAAUAUUUAUAAACCAAAUAUGAGUUGCUUGAUUAUGUUUCAAAUAUUAAUCAUGUUCUGUGUAGAACUCUUGGAAUAUAAUAUACAGCAGAAGCAGUCUCAAAUGCUGGAGAUGCAAGUGGAGCUCAGCAGUAUGAAAGACAGAGCAACAGAACUGCAGGAGCAGCUGAGUUCUGAGAAAAUGGUGGUUGCUGAACUGAAGAGUGAGCUUGCACAAACUAAAUUGGAACUAGAAACAACACUCAAGGCACAGCAUAAACACCUAAAAGAAUUGGAGGCUUUCAGGUUGGAAGUUAAAGAUAAGACAGAUGAAGUACAUUUGCUUAAUGACACAUUAGCAAGUGAACAGAAAAAAUCAAGAGAGCUCCAGUGGGCUUUGGAGAAAGAGAAAGCCAAGUUGGGACGCAGUGAAGAACGGGAUAAAGAAGAACUUGAGGAUCUGAAGUUUUCACUUGAGAGUCAGAAACAAAGGAAUCUUCAGCUAAAUCUACUUUUGGAACAACAGAAACAACUACUGAACGAAUCCCAGCAAAAAAUAGAAUCACAGAGAAUGCUAUAUGAUGCCCAGUUGUCAGAAGAACAAGGUCGAAACUUAGAGCUUCAAGUACUUCUUGAAUCUGAGAAAGUUCGAAUUCGGGAAAUGAGUAGUACCCUAGAUAGGGAGCGGGAAUUGCACGCACAGCUGCAGAGCAGUGAUGGUACUGGACAGUCUCGGCCACCCUUGCCCUCAGAGGACCUACUGAAAGAGCUGCAGAAACAGCUAGAGGAAAAACACAGUCGCAUAGUAGAAUUGUUAAAUGAGACUGAAAAAUAUAAACUGGAUUCUUUGCAAACACGACAGCAAAUGGAAAAAGAUAGGCAGGUUCACAGGAAAACACUGCAGACAGAACAGGAGGCCAACACUGAAGGACAGAAAAAAAUGCAUGAGCUCCAGUCCAAAGUGGAAGAUCUUCAGCGCCAGCUGGAAGAGAAAAGACAACAAGUUUAUAAGUUAGACCUUGAAGGACAGCGACUACAAGGAAUCAUGCAGGAAUUCCAGAAGCAAGAACUAGAACGAGAAGAAAAACGAGAAAGUAGAAGAAUUCUGUAUCAGAACCUUAAUGAGCCAGCCACGUGGAGCUUAACCAGUGAUCGAACUAGAAAUUGGGUUCUUCAACAGAAAAUAGAAGGAGAAACAAAAGAAUCAAACUACGCUAAAUUGAUUGAAAUGAAUGGAGGAGGAACCGGCUGUAAUCAUGAAUUAGAAAUGAUCAGACAAAAGCUUCAGUGUGUAGCUUCAAAACUACAGGUUCUACCCCAGAAAGCCUCUGAGAGACUACAGUUUGAAACAGCAGAUGAUGAAGAUUUCAUUUGGGUUCAGGAAAAUAUUGAUGAAAUUAUUUUACAACUACAGAAAUUAACUGGCCAGCAAGGUGAAGAGCCCAGCUUGGUGUCCCCAAGUACUUCUUGUGGCUCAUUGACUGAAAGACUACUGAGACAAAAUGCUGAGCUGACAGGGCAUAUCAGUCAACUGACUGAAGAGAAGAAUGACUUAAGGAACAUGGUUAUGAAGCUAGAAGAGCAGAUCAGGUGGUAUCGACAGACAGGAGCUGGUAGAGAUAAUUCUUCCAGGUUUUCAUUGAAUGGUGGUGCCAACAUUGAAGCCAUCAUUGCCUCUGAAAAAGAAGUAUGGAACAGAGAAAAAUUGACUCUCCAGAAAUCUCUGAAAAGGGCAGAGGCUGAAGUAUACAAACUGAAAGCUGAACUAAGAAAUGACUCUUUACUUCAAACUCUGAGCCCUGAUUCUGAACAUGUCACUUUAAAGAGAAUUUAUGGUAAAUACUUGAGGGCAGAAAGUUUUCGAAAGGCUCUCAUUUACCAGAAGAAAUACCUGCUGCUGUUACUGGGUGGGUUCCAGGAAUGUGAAGAUGCCACCUUGGCCCUGCUUGCCCGGAUGGGGGGGCAGCCAGCUUUCACGGAUCUAGAGGUGAUCACCAAUCGCCCAAAGGGCUUCACCAGGUUUCGGUCGGCCGUCAGAGUAUCCAUUGCAAUUUCCAGAAUGAAAUUUUUGGUUCGACGGUGGCAUCGAGUCACAGGUUCUGUUUCCAUCAAUAUUAACAGAGAUGGCUUUGGACUGAAUCAAGGUGCAGAAAAGACUGACUCAUUUUACCAUUCUUCUGGUGGGCUGGAGUUAUAUGGAGAACCAAGACAUACUACGUAUCGCUCAAGAUCAGAUCUGGACUAUAUUAGGUCCCCUUUACCAUUUCAGAAUAGGUACCCAGGCGCUCCAGCUGAUUUCAAUCCUGGUUCUUUAGCAUGUUCUCAGCUUCAGAAUUACGAUCCUGACAGAGCCCUAACAGAUUAUAUCACUCGGCUAGAGGCACUGCAAAGACGACUUGGAACUGUACAGUCAGGUUCAACUACUCAAUUUCAUGCUGGCAUGAGAAGAUAAUCCUUUGAAACAUCAUUAAUUGAAGUGAUUUUAAAUAGAUUUCCUUUUGUAAAUCAAUGGUUCUUUUGUGUUUUUGUAUUGUGAAUAUUCAAUGGGACCAAUAUGAACACAGCUUAUGAUUGUAUACAAAUCCCUUGCCAGCACAUGAAAACAAACUGGAAUUUGUAUAUAUAAGCAUUGUGUAUGUAUUCAUGCACAAUAAUUAUUGAAUUACCUGUAUAUUUGUGGAAUGCUAAUUUAAAACAUUAAAUUAUAAACCUUGUGUAUUUAUCAAAUGGGUGAAAAGAUUAAACUUUUACGCAUUACAAUACUGCUGAAUGUGUAGCUCGAGGUGUCCUGCACUUUUCUUAUAAGGCUACUGAAGUUACAUGUUUUGCCUAAUAUAUUCUACUGGUGAUGAAGACAGAUAAUAUCACUUGUAGAGACCUAUUUUUGUAUAAUGGUAGAAGUUUUGAAUUUUAUGGGGUAUUUUGUCAAGUACUGAAAUAAAAAUGACUUCACCAUUUUCA
RNAcentral lists this small RNA (3982 nucleotides) under Pan troglodytes (chimpanzee). RNAcentral describes it as "retained intron". Lineage: Eukaryota; Metazoa; Chordata; Mammalia; Primates; Hominidae. The record is from RNAcentral.